UACAUAGGUGGCAAGCGUUGUUCGGAAUUACUGGGCGUAAAGGGCGCGUAGGCGGCCUUCUAAGUCAGACGUGAAAUCCCCCGGCUUAACCUGGGAACUGCGUCUGAUACUGGGAGGCUUGAGUAUGGGAGAGGGAUGUAGAAUUCCAGGUGUAGCGGUGAAAUGCGUAGAUAUCUGGAGGAAUACCGGUGGCGAAGGCGGCAUCCUGGACCAUAACUGACGCUGAGGCGCGAAAGCUAGGGGAGCAAACGGG
RNAcentral lists this ribosomal RNA (253 nucleotides) under uncultured bacterium. RNAcentral describes it as "partial 16S ribosomal RNA". It matches the Rfam family "Bacterial small subunit ribosomal RNA", at positions 524 to 776 of the family's 1533-position model. The record is from RNAcentral.